GGGCAUGUAGUGUAGGGGUUAUCGCGCCUCAUUCGCAAAGGCCAAGUCCACUUGGUCACGUGACUUGUCUUGAGGAGGUCUCCGGUUCAAUUCCGGACUUGUCCA
Ceratobasidium sp. 414 is the source of this 105-nucleotide non-coding RNA. NCBI's taxonomy places the organism in Eukaryota, Fungi, Basidiomycota, Agaricomycetes, Cantharellales, Ceratobasidiaceae. The record is from the annotation of a GenBank genome assembly.